This 253-nucleotide ribosomal RNA is filed under the name uncultured prokaryote. Its description in RNAcentral is "partial 16S ribosomal RNA". It matches the Rfam family "Bacterial small subunit ribosomal RNA", at positions 524 to 776 of the family's 1533-position model. The record is from RNAcentral.
UACGUAGGUGGCAAGCGUUGUUCGGAAUUAUUGGGCGUAAAGGGCGCGUAGGCGGCUUGUUAAGUCGGCUGUGAAAGCCCGGGGCUCAACCCCGGAGGGUCAGCCGAUACUGGCAGGCUAGAGUACGGGAGAGGUAGCUGGAAUUCCUGGUGUAGCAGUGAAAUGCGUAGAUAUCAGGAGGAACACCGAUGGCGAAGGCAGGUCUCUGGGCUGACACUGACGCUCAUGCACGAAAGCGUGGGGAGCAAACAGG